RNAcentral lists this ribosomal RNA (339 nucleotides) under uncultured Lactobacillales bacterium. RNAcentral describes it as "bacterial SSU rRNA". It matches the Rfam family "Bacterial small subunit ribosomal RNA", at positions 208 to 525 of the family's 1533-position model. The record is from RNAcentral. Lineage: Bacteria; Bacillati; Bacillota; Bacilli; Lactobacillales.
CGUAAGCUGUCGCUAAAGGAUGGACCUGCGAUGCAUUAGCUAGUUGGGUAAGGGUAACGGGCUUACCAAGGCGAUGAUGCAUAGCCCGAGUUGAGAGACUGAUCGGGCCACGUUGGGACUGAGACACGGGCCCAAACUCCUACGGGAGGCAGCAGUAGGGGGAAUCUUCCACAAUGGACGAAAAGUCUGAUGGAGCAAACGCCGCGUGAGUGAAGAAGGUUUUCGGACCGUAAAGCUCUGUUGUUGGUGAAGAAGGAUAGAGGUAGUAACUGGCCCUUUAUUUGACGGUAAUCAACCAGAAAGUCACGGGCUAACUACGUGCCAGCAGCCGCGGUAAAU